This is an RNA transcript of Tupaia belangeri chinensis (Chinese tree shrew), 2767 nucleotides long. It is a transcript of the gene named autophagy related 4C cysteine peptidase, with no coding region annotated. The record is from RefSeq and is a predicted model, not a curated record. The transcript is spliced from 13 exons. NCBI's taxonomy places the organism in Eukaryota, Metazoa, Chordata, Mammalia, Scandentia, Tupaiidae.
GCGGGGUACCUGUGGCUUCGGCGCUGGAGGGCCGGUGUGGGCGGGCUGCUCCUGCUGCGGCCACUGCGGCGGCAUUUCCCGCGUGGGAGGCUCCUGCACGUUAUUGCCGCGCUCUCCAAUCCUUCUGUUCCGGCGAGGAUCGACUUGAGGCUGGUGGAGUCGAGAAGAAUUUUCCUUCCUGGUGGCUGGUGUUAGGAUUUGUCAAAAUCAAGGACUUCCUUGUGGCCUGUUUUCUUUUUGACUUAGAAAAAAAUACGUGCAUGUAUCUCUUAUUUAAAAUUUUUGAAUUUAGAAGAUUCAAGAUUGGUGAUUCAGAAGAUUCAAGUCAGUGCAAAAGAUUAAACUCAACAGAAGAAUGCAAUCAAGUGAUGGCUUUUUCUUUAGAAUUUGAAUAUGGAGGCCACAGGAACAGAUGAAGUUGAUAAGCUAAAAACUAAAUUUGUAUCUGCUUGGAACAACAUGAAAUAUAGUUGGGUGUUGAAAACAAAGACCUAUUUUAGUAGAAAUUCCCCUGUAUUAUUACUUGGAAAAUGUUACCAUUUUAAAUAUGAAGAUGAAAAUAAAGCAUUAUCUGCAAGAUCAGGAUGCACAAUAGAAGAUCAUGUAAUUGCAGGAAAUGUAGAAGAAUUUCGUAGAGAUUUCAUUUCUAGAAUAUGGCUGACUUACAGGGAAGAAUUUCCUCCAAUAGAAGGCUCGGCUUUGACAACAGACUGUGGUUGGGGCUGUACAUUGAGAACUGGACAGAUGCUAUUGGCUCAGGGGCUCAUACUACAUUUUCUUGGUAGAGCUUGGACCUGGCCUGAUGCUUUGAAUAUUGAAAAUUCAGACUCUGAAUCAUGGACCUCCCACACUGUAAAAAAAUUUACUGCAUCAGUUGAAGCAUCACUUUCAGGGGAAAGAGAACUCAAAACCCCAACAAUUUCUCUGAAGGAAACAAUUGAGAAGUAUUCUGAUGAUCACGAAAUACGAAAUGAAAUUUAUCACAGGAAAAUCAUCUCUUGGUUUGGUGAUUCUCCCUUGGCUCUCUUUGGUUUACAUCAGCUAAUAGAGUAUGGAAAGAAAUCUGGGAAAAAAGCCGGAGAUUGGUAUGGACCAGCUGUGGUUGCUCAUAUUUUGAGAAAAGCAGUUGAAGAAGCAAGACACCCUGAUUUACAAGGAAUAACUAUUUAUGUUGCACAAGAUUGUACAGUGUACAGUUCUGACGUAAUUGAUAAACAAAGAACUGCGAUGACAGCCGAUAAUGCAGAUGAUAAAGCUGUUAUUAUUCUAGUUCCUGUUAGACUUGGUGGAGAAAGAACCAACACGGACUACUUAGAGUUUGUAAAGGGUAUUUUAAGCCUUGAAUAUUGUGUUGGUAUUAUUGGUGGCAAGCCCAAACAGUCAUAUUACUUUGCUGGAUUUCAAGAUGACAGUUUGAUUUACAUGGAUCCUCAUUACUGCCAAUCUUUUGUAGAUGUCAGCAUAAAGGAUUUCCCUCUUGAGACAUUCCACUGCCCUUCUCCUAAAAAGAUGUCAUUUCGAAAAAUGGAUCCUAGCUGUACAAUAGGAUUUUAUUGUCGAAAUAUUCAGGACUUCAAACGAGCUUCUGAAGAAAUCACUAAGAUGCUGACAAUUUCUUCUAAGGAGAAAUAUCCCUUAUUUACUUUUGUAAAUGGUCAUUCCAGAGACUAUGAUUUUACAUCUACUACAACCAAUGAAGAAGACCUUUUCUCAGAGGAUGAAAAGAAAAGAUUGAAAAGAUUUAGCACAGAAGAGUUUGUCUUGCUGUAAGGAUUAGCACAUUUGCGCUUGAUAAGAACAAUUCCUUUGAAAGAAGAAAAUGAAGAGAAACAAGUAUACUUGAAACUGUUUUAUUUCAUAAAUACAUUAGUUUUAUAUGUUCUUUUAAGAAAAAGAACAUUUGAAAAUACACAAGUUUAUCUGUAAAGUAUCGUUAUUUUUCUGAAAGAGAAACAAUUUAAUGUCUUACUUUCUAAUAAACGUUGAGUAAUUUUGGUUGCAUUCCUAUUUCUCUAAAAUCUGCCAGUGAUAACUCUACCCCUUAACUAUAAGCCUUCCAGUCUUUAAAGUCUUUCACCUGAACCCUUCGGUCUCCUGAACAACGUGCUACAGCCCCCCAGAGAUUGGGAUCAUCAAAAGCUUCAGUUUGUACUAAUGAUCAGAGAAUGAAUCUUCAGUGCUGCCUAGCUUCCUGCUGGUAAUGCAACCAAACAUACUUUUGGAUGUAUCUCGAUAAUUCAAUAGUAUUAGCUGUGCUGUGCAUACAGUUAUAAAAGCAGAAUCGUGAAUUAAAGUAAUACUUAACAAUAUGAUUUUAUAAUGGCUCCUCAUUUUUCUUGCUGUUGGCUUUCUGUGAGGAGUGAAUAUAAAGAAUUGAUUUUUCCCCACAAAUUUAUAGGUUAUGUUAUUAAUAGUAACUGUACCCAAUCAAAUCAGAUAAAGGCAAUUAUAAAAUAGUAAUUGUGUUUGUUUGUAUUUCAAAAGUGAGAUUUUGUAGGAACUCAACUUAUUAGUUUUAAAUCUAAAGAUAAGUACCAAGAAAGACGUCAGUAGGUACUUCUCUGUGUGAUUUUUAGCUUUUUGUAUAAAGAGGUACAUUUGUGUCUAGAAGCAGGGGCCGUCUGUAAGGUAAUUCUGCCUUAAGUGUAUUGUGUUACUUUUAAGUCAAGAUUGUUAUAUAAAAGUCCAAGAGUUUUUGUUGAGCCAGGAUUAUAAAGUAAAUGUUUUAAUAAAGAUGUGGGAACAUAAAUUGCCUUUGUUUUGGUUU